This 1242-nucleotide long non-coding RNA is filed under the name Coturnix japonica (Japanese quail). RNAcentral describes it as "lncRNA (ENSCJPG00005006689.1)". The record is from RNAcentral. Lineage: Eukaryota; Metazoa; Chordata; Aves; Galliformes; Phasianidae.
ACUAGAUCAGGUUGCCCAGGGCCCCGUCCAACCUGGUCUUGAACACCUCCAAGGACGGGGCAUCCACAACCUCCCUGCGCAGCCUGUUCCAGGCUUUCUGUCAGCUCUUUACCUGCUUUAACACCGGUCUUUGUCUUUGCAGGUGGGCACCUCCUCGGUGGUGUACCCCGCCGCCAUGUUCGCCCCGCAGGUGUCGUCCCGCGGGGUGCCGGUGGCAGAAUUCAACACGGAAGCCACUCCCGCUACAGACAGGUUCAGGUUCCACUUCCAGGGCCCAUGUGGAAGCACGCUGCCGCCUGCCUUAGCCCGCCACGAGUCCGAGAUCAUCGCCUGAGGCGGGGCGGGGGCGGUGGGGCGGGGCGGGGCGGCGGGCCCCGAUCGUGCCAAUAAAGCGUGUGGAGCGGCAGCCCCUGUGUCGUGGUCUGACUGCCGGCAACGGGAUAAAGGUAGAGCGGAAGGAAGUCCGAGGAACGACUUCGGAAGUCGGCGGAGCUUUUCCGGGUCGCGCUGAGACGCGUUGCGGAGCGUGGCCAUGGUGCGGCGGCUCAGACGGCAGAAGGGGAAGGCGGCCCCCGUCGGCCCGUCCGCCGCUUCGCCCUCCUCGGAGGAUGAGGAGCCCCCCGAGGAGCUGUCGUUCGGCACGGCCAGGGCGGAGGCCGAGGCCGAGAGGAAGCUCGUGGGGGAGGCGGCGCGGAGGCACCGGGAGCUGCUGAAGGAGAAGCGGCGGCGGCGGCAGGAGCUGUUCACGGAGCAGAAGAGAAGGAAGCUGCUGCCCGAGGCCCUGCUGCAGGAGCUGGCCGCAGCCCCGCCUGCACGAUGAGCCGAGCCCCCCUGCUGCACCAGGUACUUUGGAUGUUCUGUUUCCACAGCUCACAGUUAGCAGAGAAUGAAGGUGGGAUUAGACCUUCCCUUUCCAGCAGCGCGUGGCUUUUCUAUUGCACUGAUUGUUCUUUUUUGGCCUGUACGGAAUCCCAUCUAUUUGGGACUGAUGGCAGGGAACAGGAAAGCACUGUAGCUUUUAGGCUGCCUUUUUCAGCAGCUCUCUGAGGGCACCGCUGCUGGGUUUUACCAAUCAGAGCAGCUGAAAAGUGCCUCCUGGCUGCUUGUUCACAGCUUGUGUUGCUUCACAGAAUCACAGAAUCACAGAAUCACAGAAUCACAAAAUGACCCAGGUUGGAAGGGACCUCAAGGAUCAUGUAGUUCCAACCCCCCUGCCUAGCAGGGCCACCAAACAUACACAUU